Molecule: ribosomal RNA, 301 nt
Filed under: uncultured bacterium
Lineage: Bacteria
Description: partial 16S ribosomal RNA
Rfam family: Bacterial small subunit ribosomal RNA
Source: RNAcentral
CAGUAGCCGCGGGAACACGUAGGGUGCGAGCGUUAAUCGGAAUUACUGGGCGUAAAGCGUGCGCAGGCGGUUUUGUAAGACAGGCGUGAAAUCCCCGGGCUCAACCUGGGAAUGGCGCUUGUGACUGCAAAGCUAGAGUGCGGCAGAGGGGGAUGGAAUUCCGCGUGUAGCAGUGAAAUGCGUAGAUAUGCGGAGGAACACCGAUGGCGAAGGCAAUCCCCUGGGCCUGCACUGACGCUCAUGCACGAAAGCGUGGGGAGCAAACAGGAUUAGAUACCCCGGUAGUCCCUGUCUCUUAUAC